RNAcentral lists this long non-coding RNA (3748 nucleotides) under Olea europaea (common olive). RNAcentral describes it as "long non-coding RNA (OEUR_LNC001218)". The record is from RNAcentral. Lineage: Eukaryota; Viridiplantae; Streptophyta; Magnoliopsida; Lamiales; Oleaceae.
CCCGAUCUAACCUGUGAGAUGUAGGGAAAAGGGUGAGUACAUGGGAUACUCAGUAGGAUAUAAAAAUUUAUGGUGCGAUCCCGUAUAAUAAUUUUAAAACAUGCAUCAGAAUAUCAUAUCGUCUCAUAUCUUUAAAUUCGGCAAGAACUCAUAUCAUAUCAUAUCAUAUUGUUGUAUCGGAGUGGCCAUAUCAUUCACAUCAUAGCAUAUCAUAUUAUAACUUUAACUUUCAUGAGUAUAAAAUUCAUUAGCAUGAAAAAAUAUUUAAACAGGAAUAAAAAAAAUACUGCACCUUAAUAUCCUACCUUAUUAGAUCGUUUUAAUUUUUGGAUGACAAAACCAAAGAAAUCACGCUCCAAAAAUCCUUCUCGCUGCUUCAAGAAUUUAUAUUGUUUGAAAUUGACUUCCUAUUUUAAAUUGCAAUACCAUAAGUAUAAGUAUCUAUAAUUUUUUUUUAAGGUAUAAAGUAAUAUUCAUUUUACACUACAUAAAUAUGAAGUCUGUAAUUUACCUGAUUUUAACACUAUUCUUUCUCUACAACCAUGUGCUUGUACAUAUGUCUUCUUUUGAUAUACAUCUAUAAAUAUAUCCCACAUGAUCUAGUCUAACAAAGUGGGUGUGUAGUUGGGGAUAUAUGUAGUAGUAGGAUAGGAGUAUAGAUAAAUUUCGGAAACGAAAUUUUUGAAAUAAAAUAAUUGACCAAAUCUUGUCAACCAACUUUAUCACUCAACAAGCAAUACCUCUCUCACACGUGGCCAACAAAUUGAAACAAGAAUAAAUAAAGUUUCUUUCUCUCUCUUCUUUUCUUUCUCUCUCUCACGUGGUCCUAUCUCCCUCUCUUCUUUUAUAUAUAUAAUAAUAAUAAUAAUAAUUAUUAUUAUUAUUAUUAUUAUUAUUAUUAUUUGGAUAAAAAAAUAUUCAAUCAUAAUCUACCAAGAAUCUUCUCUAUUCAUGUGACUUGAGCAAGGGAGACUUAAAUUCAUUAAAUAAUAAAUUUAAAUAUAAUUUUAAAGCUAUAUCUUUCAACCUUGAUAACUUGAGCUCCACUUAUCAAAAUUAACUUUUUCUCGAGUCUAACAUGAAUGAUUAAUUAUGAUCUAUCCAACGAGCCCAAUGUUUAUAUACUUAUUAUCGCUUCGUCAUUAUCUACAUUUAAGCCAAAUAAAAUUGAAAUUUACUUUAUAUAUACUUUAGUCCCUAAACUUUCAAAACAUUAAAAUAUAGUGUACAAAAAAAAUUAAAUUCCUUCCAAUGAAAUUUCGGGACAUUACAUUGGAACAUUCCUACCGAUCGUUUUGGCGUACAUUUCAUAUGGUUAAGGGAGAUCGUAUAUGCUUAAGAGUGCACCUAAUUUUUUCCAACUGGAUUUUUAUGAAUUUUAUCCCAUCUUCACAAUUAAAUUAAAAAUGUGAUAAACACAGCAGAUAUAAAGUAAAAUACCACCAAAAGUGGGAUGAAGUGUCGAGCUAAUUUAUAAAUUACUACUAUAUUGAUUGUUGCAAUAUCAAAUGUAAAAGUGCAGAUUUUAUUUUCAAAAUUAAAUUCUCGGAUAAUGCUCAUUAAAGUAUUACAAAAUUUAGAUGAUCAUGAGAUAAUUUAGUUAUUUUAAAAGCAAUAUAUUUUUUAUGUAGUACCCACUAUUUAUCUAUUUAGCGUGUAGUAGCAGCUAUGUAAUCUUUAUGAUUAUUAUUGGACCACAUGUUAUAUGUAAAUGAUAAAAGAUAUAAAUGAUUAAACACCAGUAUCUUUACUUAAAUCACUUAUUAUUCAAUCUUUCUUUUUAUUUUAUAAAAUAAUAGAAUCCAAAUGAAGAGUGUUUCUGUAGUAGGAUUUUACCUAGUUGGAGAUAUAAGUGAACACUUUUCACUAUACUAAGCUAUUCACCACUAGCUAAGAAUAAUGUCAAACAUUCGUUCAUUGCCUCUUGUAAAUUGACAUGACCCAUCCCGUAUCAGUCUAAUGGACUAGGAAUGUGAUGUGUGCCGACGAUAGAUGUUGACUAGAGGCUAGAUCCACCACCAAGGCUGACUAUGACUUACUACAAAAUGUCCGCCAAAAUCAAAUAUUUAUGCAAAAUAUAAUGCAAUGGGUCCCAAAAAAAAUAAUUAUUUCAUGUUUUACCAAAAUGAAUCAUAUAACUCAAUAUGUCAUGUGGCUCUAAUUCUAAUGCCACCAGCGUCCUCAAGCUAACAGGGACAAUACUACCUGUAAGAAAAAUUUGGAAAAAAUAGGAAUUUAUAACUCAAUGAAUGGAAGAGUUUGAAAAUAAUUAUACUUUCUCACUUAAACAUUUUUCUCAUAUGUAGACAUCAAGUUCAUAUCGUUUAGUAAUUCACACGAUAACCUCAUACAAUUAUACCAAAAAAGAGACAUUCUCAUAACUCUGUAAAUAUCAUCUCAUCACAUCACAUAUGAUCCGCCAAAAAUGUGCUCUCUAACUAAAAUCUAAAAAAAAAACCCCGAGAUCUCAUCACAUUACAUGUGAUCCGCAAAAAAUGUACCCUCUAAAUAAUCUGAAAUCCGUCACUCGGGCUAAGAACUUUCACCAUGGGUCUUUGGCCCUCUCCGUGAACGAAAGUUGGUCUCAAGACCUCUGGUAGUCAUCCGUGAACUAGAAGAAGUAUAUAAUCACUGGUACUUUUUUGAUCGAUCUCAAUAUUACAUCUCAUAUUCCAAAUCACAAACUUUAGCAUAUACAAUCUUUGAAAUUCCACAUGUAUCAUGGUAAAAGAAACUUUUAUGGUAAUCAUAUAAUUGAGCAAAUAAUUCACAUAACUUAAUAAUAUACUUAAUUUAUAAUACCUUGAAAUUAUUUAAGUUUUUCCACUCACAGAUCUAUGGAUAGAAAUUUGAUUAAAUUAAAGAACCUUUCUAAACUUUCACAUCCCUACCUGAAAUAACGUAUAAUUUCUUAAAACUUAACAAUUAUAGUAAUGCAAAUCCACCACUUAACAUCUCAACUUCUAUACUUACUCUUAUAUCUCCAAUUCCCCAACUUUUCUUCUCUUUAAUAAUUUAUCAACUAAUCACCAUACACUAUCAAAUUCAUUACACCACUCACACUUCCUUAAAAUCACUACCUUUAUACAUAUACAACAGCUGUACAUAUUUAGUCCAAUACAUAGACUUCAAAAUUUGUCAUAUAAAUUCAUUCAAAACUUUAAAAAUCUAGAAAUCCAAGGUUUGACAAAACAGCACUAAAAUUCCAGAAUAUAGAAAUCUAGCACCAAUUUCUAUAUAUUGAAAUCUGGCAUCGAAACCAUUGACAUUUUUGGGUAGAAUUUCAGAAUUAACACUUGUACUAUAAUAGCUUGAAAAUUGCUUUAAAAUAAUGGAGAAUUCAAAUCUCAAAUCCUUAAUUUGAGUGUUUAGCAUCAUAUAAUCACAAGAAACUCAAAGAAUAUAUCUUUCAUCUCACAACCCAUUUCCAAAAUUCUACUUUCUUCAACUUCAAUUUUCAAAUAAAUAUUUCCUUGCUAUAUUCUUAAUUAAAACCUUGAAUACACAUCAAUAACACCUAAUUCUUGCUAACUUCAAAGUUUUAGAGAUAAGUUUCAUAGACCCUAAAGGAGAUAAUUUCACAUUCUUAUACUUACCUCUCUAAAUUAAGGGGAGAAAAUGAGAAAUUGAGAACCUAGCCUUGUAAAAUUGGAACCUAUCCCUUCCUUCUUUUUCUUUUUCUCUUCCAUUUUCUUCCUUUUCCUUCCGUGGUUUUGUUCUUUGCUUCUCCAUUCGGUUUUUCUCCCCC